UCAGAAUUAGAAGUGUUGCAGGUAACUUUGCCAGAUGGUUUGAUGUCAGCGCUUGAGAUUCUUCAGUUUGUUAUGGCUGUAGAUUGCUAUCCAAAUGUCUCUGUUGCCUAUCGGAUCCUCUUAACAGUGCCUGUGACUAUAGCCUCAGCUGAAAGAAGUUUCUUUAAACUGAAACUACUGAAAAAUUAUUUGAGGUCAACUAUGUUGCAAGAUAGAUUGAAUGGUCUGGCUAUGUGCUGCAUUGAGAAGGACAUCUUGGACAAUGUUGAUCUUGAUUGUGCCUUUAAUGACUUUGCAUCAAGAAAUGCCCAAAGAAACUUUUUUUUGAAGCACUCAAGUAUUAUUGUUGUCGAUGGAGUCAGUCUAAUUUCAUUCUAUUUGAGGUAA
This 387-nucleotide ribosomal RNA is filed under the name Triticum aestivum (bread wheat). RNAcentral's name for it is "partial small subunit ribosomal RNA". The record is from RNAcentral. Lineage: Eukaryota; Viridiplantae; Streptophyta; Magnoliopsida; Poales; Poaceae.